CGUGGGUGGCUGCAGCCCUGGCCAGGCAUGCACUCUGCUGGGAUCUCGGACUUCCCAAGCGACAGAAGUAAAUUUCCAUACAUUAUUCCAUCUGAGGUAUUUGUUACAGCAGCAGGGCCAAGUGGAGGCUUCUAUGGUGCCUACCAAGUGUCACAAUGAACUGGCCUUUCAUCUGAGCUACUGCAAAUCGGUUUCCAUCAACUGUAAUCAAGUAGCUCACCACAGAGCUCUGGCAUUGUAGGAAGACUGAUGAGAGCAGCCACGUGACAUUGCUAAAACCCAGCAGGACGGCUGGAACUCGGCCAGCAGCAGAUGUCCACGCAGACCCAGGUCCUGCUGCCAGAGAGAGGAGCGAGGCUUCCAGGCAGGGGAGAGUGGGUCUGGCAAACGCACUGCCUGGCCACAGCAAGGCUUGAGCAGCAGGGAGCUGGAGGCAAGGGUGAGCCGAUGUCCGGAGGGCAGAGGCCUAACAUGUGCGCUGCCAGCGAACCGGAACAGAAGCAUGUUUGAGGCCAUCUUCCAGCAGCGCCUGACACCACAGAGGACAGGGGAAGGGCCACUGCCAGCCUGACUGCCCUCCUCCCUCCAGGGGUGGGCCACCCCUGUGCUCCCCCUUUACAGGCCUGGACCCAGGAGCAGGGGCCCCUUGAGGCCUCAGAACAACUUAUCAUUUGCUCCCAAAAGUUCAGAAUUGGGUUUACCUUCACUCCUACCCUGGGUUCUUCAUAGUCAACAUUGCCAACAUUGUCAAAAGUAAAAACUGUUUUCCUGAACCUUUAUACCUUGUCCCUGGGAGAACUCUUAUCACACAGUAAGUAUUUCACAAUAUUGUGGAAUAAAUGCAUGAAAUUGGGUAAGUUCCCCCCCUCCAGAAAGAAUUGAAGAUGAACAAAGCUACCACAAGAAAAAGCAAAAGGAAGGACUCAGGGCUUUGACAGACCGCAGCUACCUUAGAGCAGCAGUGGGUCUCGAGAGCGCCCUCCUUCCCCUAUGGAAAUUCCUG
This 1003-nucleotide long non-coding RNA is filed under the name Marmota monax (woodchuck). The record is from RNAcentral. Lineage: Eukaryota; Metazoa; Chordata; Mammalia; Rodentia; Sciuridae.